This 1471-nucleotide ribosomal RNA is filed under the name metagenome. Its description in RNAcentral is "bacterial SSU rRNA". It matches the Rfam family "Bacterial small subunit ribosomal RNA". The record is from RNAcentral.
AGAGUUUGAUCCUGGCUCAGGACGAACGCUGGCGGCGUGCCUAACACAUGCAAGUCGAACGGAAGUUAGAGCUUCGGUUUUAACUUUAGUGGCGAACGGGUGAGUAACGCGUGAGGAACCUGCCUUUCAGUGGGGGACAACAGUUGGAAACGACUGCUAAUACCGCAUGAUGCUUUUGGGAGACAUCUCCUGGAAGCCAAAGCUUUAUGUGCUGAAAGAUGGCCUCGCGUCUGAUUAGCUAGUUGGUGAGGUAACGGCUCACCAAGGCGACGAUCAGUAGCCGGUCUGAGAGGAUGAACGGCCACAUUGGGACUGAGAUACGGCCCAGACUCCUACGGGAGGCAGCAGUGGGGAAUAUUGGGCAAUGGGGGAAACCCCGACCCAGCAACGCCGCGUGAAGGAAGAAGGCCUUCGGGUUGUAAACUUCUUUUACCAGGGACGAAGGACGUGACGGUACCUGGAGAAAAAGCAACGGCUAACUACGUGCCAGCAGCCGCGGUAAUACGUAGGUUGCAAGCGUUGCCCGGAUUUACUGGGUGUAAAGGGCGUGUAGGCGGAGAUGCAAGUUGGGAGUGAAAUCCAUGGGCUCAACCCAUGAACUGCUCUCAAAACUGUAUCCCUUGAGUAUCGGAGAGGCAAGCGGAAUUCCUAGUGUAGCGGUGAAAUGCGUAGAUAUUAGGAGGAACAUCAGUGGCGAAGGCGGCUUACUGGGCUUUAACUGACGCUGAGGCUCGAAAGCGUGGGGAGCAAACAGGAUUAGAUACCCUGGUAGUCCACGCCGUAAACGAUGAUUACUAGGUGUGGGGGGACUGACCCCUUCCGUGCCGCAGCAAACGCGAUAAGUAAUCCACCUGGGGAGUACGACCGCAAGGUUGAAACUCAAAGGAAUUGACGGGGGCCCGCACAAGCAGUGGAGUAUGUGGAUUAAUUCGAAGCAACGCGAAGAACCUUACCAGGUCUUGACAUCGUAUGCAUAGCUCAGAGAUGAGUGAAAUCUCUUCGGAGACAUAUAGACAGGUGGUGCAUGGUUGUCGUCAGCUCGUGUCGUGAGAUGUUGGGUUAAGUCCCGCAACGAGCGCAACCCUUACUGUUAGUUGCUACGCAAGAGCACUCUAGCAGGACUGCCGUUGACAAAACGGAGGAAGGUGGGGAUGACGUCAAAUCAUCAUGCCCCUUACGACCUGGGCCUCACACGUACUACAAUGGCUGUCAACAGAGGGAAGCAAAGCCGCGAGGUGGAGCGAACCCCUAAAAGCAGUCUUAGUUCGGAUUGUAGGCUGCAACCCGCCUACAUGAAGUCGGAAUUGCUAGUAAUCGCAGAUCAGCAUGCUGCGGUGAAUACGUUCCCGGGCCUUGUACACACCGCCCGUCACGCCAUGGGAGUCGGUAACACCCGAAGCCUGUAGUCUAACCGCAAGGAGGACGCAGUCGAAGGUGGGAUUGAUGACUGGGGUGAAGUCGUAACAAGGUA